RNAcentral lists this ribosomal RNA (774 nucleotides) under uncultured Neocallimastigales. Its description in RNAcentral is "partial large subunit ribosomal RNA". It matches the Rfam family "Eukaryotic large subunit ribosomal RNA", at positions 24 to 649 of the family's 3401-position model. The record is from RNAcentral. Lineage: Eukaryota; Fungi; Neocallimastigomycota; Neocallimastigomycetes; Neocallimastigales.
UACGACUACAUAUCAGGCAUAUCAAUAAGCGGAGGAAAAGAAACUAACAAGGAUUCCCUUAGUAACGGCGAGUGAAGCGGGAAGAGCUCAAAUUUGAAAUCUUCAAGGUUCUACCUUGACGAAUUGUAGUUUAAAGAAGUGUUUUCUGUUAGAUGAGUAGCAAAAGUUCCUUGGAAUGGGACAUCAUAGAGGGUGAGAAUCCCGUAUUUGGUUAUUCAUUCUAGCUUUGUGAUACACUUUCAAAGAGUCGGAUUGUUUGGGAAUGCAGUCCAAAAUGGGUGGUAAAUUUCAUCUAAAGCUAAAUAUUGGCGAGAGACCGAUAGCGAACAAGUACCGUGAGGGAAAGAUGAAAAGAACUUUGAAAAGAGAGUUAAACAGUACGUGAAAUUGUCAAAAGGGAAGCGUUUGACACCAGUGUUGUUUUUCCGAAAAUCAAUUACGAAUGGCUUGAUUUUGUGUUGUAUUGACCUUAUCAGCUUUCUUCACUUUUUUCGAGUCUUUCUUAAUGCACUUUUCGGUUAACAAGUCAACAUCAAUUUCUUUUGUUGUAAAAGAGUAUUCGGAAGGUGGCUUUCUUUUCGGAGAAAGUGUUUAUAGCCCUAUACUUCUACAAUCGGAGAGAUUGAGGUCUGCAGCGUAGAUCCUUCGGGGUUAGAUACACUUGUGCUAAGUUGUAGCUCUUCAUAGACAACUUGUUGACUAUGUUUAGUCAUGCGGCUUACUCGCUUGUGCUAUUUUACCUACGCUUAGGAUGUUGAGUAGCGACAUACGCAC